Long non-coding RNA from Spea bombifrons (plains spadefoot toad), 130 nucleotides. RefSeq lists it as uncharacterized. The transcript is spliced from 2 exons. The record is from RefSeq and is a predicted model, not a curated record. Lineage: Eukaryota; Metazoa; Chordata; Amphibia; Anura; Pelobatidae.
ACAGAUUUGAAUAGAAAAACAUGGAUUGUACCUAGUGUAUCUUUUUGAUCUAUAGUGUUAUCGCCAUGAGUGAACCUUUACUCGUAUUUAUGUUACUGGGAAACCUUCUAAACAAAUCUAAAUAUAUAAA